Molecule: transfer RNA, 73 nt
Filed under: Alosa alosa (allis shad)
Lineage: Eukaryota; Metazoa; Chordata; Actinopteri; Clupeiformes; Clupeidae
Description: tRNA-OTHER
Source: RNAcentral
GCAGUUGUGGCCUACUGGUUAGGGCUUCGGGCUUGGAGCCGAAGGGUUGCUGGUUCGAUCUCCGACCAGUGUG